This 365-nucleotide ribosomal RNA is filed under the name uncultured bacterium. RNAcentral describes it as "bacterial SSU rRNA". It matches the Rfam family "Bacterial small subunit ribosomal RNA", at positions 29 to 423 of the family's 1533-position model. The record is from RNAcentral.
AACGAACGCUGGCGGCAGGCCUAACACAUGCAAGUCGAGCGCGCCUUCGGGCGAGCGGCGGACGGGUUAGUAACGCGUGGGAACGUGCCCAGAUCUACGGAAUAGCCACUGGAAACGGUGAGUAAUACCGUAUACGCCCUUAGGGGGAAAGAUUUAUCGGAUUUGGAUCGGCCCGCGUUAGAUUAGGUAGUUGGUGGGGUAAUGGCCUACCAAGCCUACGAUCUAUAGCUGGUUUUAGAGGAUGAUCAGCAACACUGGGACUGAGACACGGCCCAGACUCCUACGGGAGGCAGCAGUGGGGAAUCUUAGACAAUGGGGGCAACCCUGAUCUAGCCAUGCCGCGUGAGUGAUGAAGGCCUUAGGGU